GACGAACGCUGGCGGCGUGCUUAACACAUGCAAGUCGUACGGUAAGGCCCUUUCGGGGGUACACGAGUGGCGAACGGGUGAGUAACACGUGAGUAACCUGCCCACAACUUUGGGAUAACGCUAGGAAACUGGUGCUAAUACUGGAUAUGUGCUCCUGCUGCAUGGUGGGGGUUGGAAAGCUCCGGCGGUUGUGGAUGGACUCGCGGCCUAUCAGCUUGUUGGUGGGGUAGUGGCCUACCAAGGCGGCGACGGGUAGCCGGCCUGAGAGGUUGACCGGCCACAUUGGGACUGAGAUACGGCCCAGACUCCUACGGGAGGCAGCAGUGGGGAAUAUUGCACAAUGGGCGCAAGCCUGAUGCAGCAACGCCGCGUGCGGGAUGACGGCCUUCGGGUUGUAAACCGCUUUCAGCAGGGACGAAGCUUUUUGUGACGGUACCUGCAGAAGAAGCACCGGCUAACUACGUG
RNAcentral lists this ribosomal RNA (465 nucleotides) under uncultured bacterium. Its description in RNAcentral is "partial 16S ribosomal RNA". It matches the Rfam family "Bacterial small subunit ribosomal RNA", at positions 28 to 507 of the family's 1533-position model. The record is from RNAcentral.